AGCGUACACGGUGGAUGCCCUGGCAGUCAGAGGCGAUGAAGGACGUGCUAAUCUGCGAUAAGCGUCGGUAAGGUGAUAUGAACCGUUAUAACCGGCGAUUUCCGAAUGGGGAAACCCAGUGUGAUUCGUCACACUAUCAUUAACUGAAUCCAUAGGUUAAUGAGGCGAACCGGGGGAACUGAAACAUCUAAGUACCCCGAGGAAAAGAAAUCAACCGAGAUUCCCCCAGUAGCGGCGAGCGAACGGGGAGCAGCCCAGAGCCUGAAUCAGUGUGUGUGUUAGUGGAAGCGUCUGGAAAGGCGCGCGAUACAGGGUGACAGCCCCGUACACAAAAAUGCACAUGCUGUGAGCUCGAUGAGUAGGGCGGGACACGUGGUAUCCUGUCUGAAUAUGGGGGGACCAUCCUCCAAGGCUAAAUACUCCUGACUGACCGAUAGUGAACCAGUACCGUGAGGGAAAGGCGAAAAGAACCCCGGCGAGGGGAGUGAAAAAGAACCUGAAACCGUGUACGUACAAGCAGUGGGAGCCUCUUUAUGGGGUGACUGCGUACCUUUUGUAUAAUGGGUCAGCGACUUAUAUUCUGUAGCAAGGUUAACCGAAUAGGGGAGCCGAAGGGAAACCGAGUCUUAACUGGGCGUUAAGUUGCAGGGUAUAGACCCGAAACCCGGUGAUCUAGCCAUGGGCAGGUUGAAGGUUGGGUAACACUAACUGGAGGACCGAACCGACUAAUGUUGAAAAAUUAGCGGAUGACUUGUGGCUGGGGGUGAAAGGCCAAUCAAACCGGGAGAUAGCUGGUUCUCCCCGAAAGCUAUUUAGGUAGCGCCUCGUGAAUUCAUCUCCGGGGGUAGAGCACUGUUUCGGCAAGGGGGUCAUCCCGACUUACCAACCCGAUGCAAACUGCGAAUACCGGAGAAUGUUAUCACGGGAGACACACGGCGGGUGCUAACGUCCGUCGUGAAGAGGGAAACAACCCAGACCGCCAGCUAAGGUCCCAAAGUCAUGGUUAAGUGGGAAACGAUGUGGGAAGGCCCAGACAGCCAGGAUGUUGGCUUAGAAGCAGCCAUCAUUUAAAGAAAGCGUAAUAGCUCACUGGUCGAGUCGGCCUGCGCGGAAGAUGUAACGGGGCUAAACCAUGCACCGAAGCUGCGGCAGCGACACUAUGUGUUGUUGGGUAGGGGAGCGUUCUGUAAGCCUGUGAAGGUGUGCUGUGAGGUAUGCUGGAGGUAUCAGAAGUGCGAAUGCUGACAUAAGUAACGAUAAAGCGGGUGAAAAGCCCGCUCGCCGGAAGACCAAGGGUUCCUGUCCAACGUUAAUCGGGGCAGGGUGAGUCGACCCCUAAGGCGAGGCCGAAAGGCGUAGUCGAUGGGAAACAGGUUAAUAUUCCUGUACUUGGUGUUACUGCGAAGGGGGGACGGAGAAGGCUAUGUUGGCCGGGCGACGGUUGUCCCGGUUUAAGCGUGUAGGCUGGUUUUCCAGGCAAAUCCGGAAAAUCAAGGCUGAGGCGUGAUGACGAGGCACUACGGUGCUGAAGUAACAAAUGCCCUGCUUCCAGGAAAAGCCUCUAAGCAUCAGGUAACAUCAAAUCGUACCCCAAACCGACACAGGUGGUCAGGUAGAGAAUACCAAGGCGCUUGAGAGAACUCGGGUGAAGGAACUAGGCAAAAUGGUGCCGUAACUUCGGGAGAAGGCACGCUGAUAUGUAGGUGAAGCGACUUGCUCGUGGAGCUGAAAUCAGUCGAAGAUACCAGCUGGCUGCAACUGUUUAUUAAAAACACAGCACUGUGCAAACACGAAAGUGGACGUAUACGGUGUGACGCCUGCCCGGUGCCGGAAGGUUAAUUGAUGGGGUCAGCGCAAGCGAAGCUCUUGAUCGAAGCCCCGGUAAACGGCGGCCGUAACUAUAACGGUCCUAAGGUAGCGAAAUUCCUUGUCGGGUAAGUUCCGACCUGCACGAAUGGCGUAAUGAUGGCCAGGCUGUCUCCACCCGAGACUCAGUGAAAUUGAACUCGCUGUGAAGAUGCAGUGUACCCGCGGCAAGACGGAAAGACCCCGUGAACCUUUACUAUAGCUUGACACUGAACAUUGAGCCUUGAUGUGUAGGAUAGGUGGGAGGCUUUGAAGUGUGGACGCCAGUCUGCAUGGAGCCGACCUUGAAAUACCACCCUUUAAUGUUUGAUGUUCUAACGUUGACCCGUGAUCCGGGUUGCGGACAGUGUCUGGUGGGUAGUUUGACUGGGGCGGUCUCCUCCUAAAGAGUAACGGAGGAGCACGAAGGUUGGCUAAUCCUGGUCGGACAUCAGGAGGUUAGUGCAAUGGCAUAAGCCAGCUUGACUGCGAGCGUGACGGCGCGAGCAGGUGCGAAAGCAGGUCAUAGUGAUCCGGUGGUUCUGAAUGGAAGGGCCAUCGCUCAACGGAUAAAAGGUACUCCGGGGAUAACAGGCUGAUACCGCCCAAGAGUUCAUAUCGACGGCGGUGUUUGGCACCUCGAUGUCGGCUCAUCACAUCCUGGGGCUGAAGUAGGUCCCAAGGGUAUGGCUGUUCGCCAUUUAAAGUGGUACGCGAGCUGGGUUUAGAACGUCGUGAGACAGUUCGGUCCCUAUCUGCCGUGGGCGCUGGAGAACUGAGGGGGGCUGCUCCUAGUACGAGAGGACCGGAGUGGACGCAUCACUGGUGUUCGGGUUGUCAUGCCAAUGGCACUGCCCGGUAGCUAAAUGCGGAAGAGAUAAGUGCUGAAAGCAUCUAAGCACGAAACUUGCCCCGAGAUGAGUUCU
RNAcentral lists this ribosomal RNA (2771 nucleotides) under Escherichia coli. Its description in RNAcentral is "bacterial LSU rRNA". It matches the Rfam family "Bacterial large subunit ribosomal RNA". Lineage: Bacteria; Pseudomonadati; Pseudomonadota; Gammaproteobacteria; Enterobacterales; Enterobacteriaceae. The record is from RNAcentral.